UGGGGAAUUUUGGACAAUGGGCGAAAGCCUGAUCCAGCCAUGCCGCGUGAGUGAAGAAGGCCUUCGGGUUGUAAAGCUCUUUCGGUUGGGAAGAAAUUGCCUGGGUUAAUACCUCAGGUAGAUGACGGUACCAGCAUAAGAAGCACCGGCUGACUACGUGCCAGCAGCCGCGGUAAUACGUAGGGUGCGAGCGUUAAUCGGAAUUACUGGGCGUAAAGCGUGCGCAGGCGGUUGUGUAAGUCAGAUGUGAAAUCCCCGGGCUCAACCUGGGAACUGCAUUUGAGACUGCACGGCUAGAGUGUGGCAGAGGGGGGUAGAAUUCCACGUGUAGCAGUGAAAUGCGUAGAGAUGCGGAGGAACACCGAUGGCGAAGGCAAUCCCCUGGACCUGUACUGACGCUCAUACACGAAAGCGUGGGGAGCAAACA
This 427-nucleotide ribosomal RNA is filed under the name uncultured bacterium. RNAcentral describes it as "bacterial SSU rRNA". It matches the Rfam family "Bacterial small subunit ribosomal RNA", at positions 355 to 774 of the family's 1533-position model. The record is from RNAcentral.